This is a transfer RNA of Aspergillus nidulans FGSC A4, 111 nucleotides long. It matches the Rfam family "tRNA". Rfam says of the family: Transfer RNA (tRNA) molecules are approximately 80 nucleotides in length. The record is from Rfam. NCBI's taxonomy places the organism in Eukaryota, Fungi, Ascomycota, Eurotiomycetes, Eurotiales, Aspergillaceae.
GGCAAGAUGGCCGAGCGGUCUAAGGCGCCAGACUCAAGAAAGCGAUUUUCUUACCUGAACAAGGUUUCUGGUCUUCGAAAGAGGGCGUGGGUUCAAAUCCCACUCUUGUCA